RNAcentral lists this ribosomal RNA (468 nucleotides) under uncultured bacterium. RNAcentral describes it as "partial 16S ribosomal RNA". It matches the Rfam family "Bacterial small subunit ribosomal RNA", at positions 28 to 507 of the family's 1533-position model. The record is from RNAcentral.
GACGAACGCUGGCGGCGUGCUUAACACAUGCAAGUCGAACGGAAAGGCCCUGCUUUUGUGCGGUGCUCGAGUGGCGAACGGGUGAGUAACCCGUGAGUAACCUGCCCUUGCCUUUGGGAUAACUUCAGGCAACUGGGGCUCAUACCGCCUAGGAGCUCUUGCUGCAUGGUGGGGGUUGGAAAGUUUCGGUGGUUGGUGAUGGACUCGCGGCGUAUCAGCUUGUUGGUGGGGUAGUGGAUUACCAAGGCUUUGACGGGUAGCCGGCCUGGGAGGGUGACCGGCCACAUUGGGACUGAGCUACGGCCCAGACUCGUACGGGAGGCAGCAGUGGGGAAUAUUGCACAAUGGGCGGAAGCCUGAUGCAGCAACGCCGCGUGCGGGAUGACGGCCUGCGGGUUGUAAACCGCUGUCGCCUGUGACGAGGCGUGAGUGACGGUAAUGGGUAAAGAAGCACCGGCUAACUACGUG